Molecule: ribosomal RNA, 308 nt
Filed under: uncultured Bacteroidota bacterium
Lineage: Bacteria; Pseudomonadati; Bacteroidota
Description: bacterial SSU rRNA
Rfam family: Bacterial small subunit ribosomal RNA
Source: RNAcentral
GCGGUAAUACGGAGGGUGCAAGCGUUAUCCGGAAUCACUGGGUUUAAAGGGUGCGUAGGCGGGCUAUUAAGUCAGUGGUGAAAKCUCACGGCUCAACUGUGGAAUUGCUUUUGAUACUGUUAUUCUUGAAUUAGGUUGAGGUUGGCGGAAUGUGUCAUGUAGCGGUGAAAUGCAUAGAUAUGACUUAGAACACCAAUUGCGAAGGCAGCUGACUAGACCUUAAUUGACGCUGAGGCACGAAAGCGUGGGGAGCGAACAGGAUUAGAUACCCUGGUAGUCCACGCCCUAAACGAUGCUUACUCGAUGUU